RNAcentral lists this ribosomal RNA (301 nucleotides) under uncultured bacterium. RNAcentral's name for it is "partial 16S ribosomal RNA". It matches the Rfam family "Bacterial small subunit ribosomal RNA", at positions 509 to 807 of the family's 1533-position model. The record is from RNAcentral.
CAGCCGCCGCGGGAAAACGAAGGGGGCUAGCGUUGCUCGGAAUGACUGGGCGUAAAGGGCGCGUAGGCGGCGAUCAAAGUCAGGCGUGAAAUUCCUGGGCUCAACCUGGGGGCUGCGUUUGAUACUUGGUUGCUAGAGUGAGGAAGAGGGUCGUGGAAUUCCCAGUGUAGAGGUGAAAUUCGUAGAUAUUCGGAAGAACACCAGUGGCGAAGGCGGCUCACUGGCUCAUUCUAGACGCUGAGGUGCGAAAGCGUGGGGAGCAAACAGGAUUAGAUACCCCCGUAGUCCCUGUCUCUUAUAC